GAUGAACGCUGGCGGCGUGCCUAAUACAUGCAAGUCGAGCGAACAGACGAGGAGCUUGCUCCUCUGACGUUAGCGGCGGACGGGUGAGUAACACGUGGAUAACCUACCUAUAAGACUGGGAUAACUUCGGGAAACCGGAGCUAAUACCGGAUAAUAUAUUGAACCGCAUGGUUCAAUAGUGAAAGACGGUUUUGCUGUCACUUAUAGAUGGAUCCGCGCCGCAUUAGCUAGUUGGUAAGGUAACGGCUUACCAAGGCAACGAUGCGUAGCCGACCUGAGAGGCGGGUCGGCCAAAAUGGAACUGAGACAGGGGCAAGAGUCCUGCGGGAGGCAGCAGAAGGGAAUCUUCCGCAAUGGGCGAAAGCCUGACAGAGCAACGCCACGUGAGUGAUGAAGGUCUUCGGUUCGUAAAACGCUGUUAUUAGGGAAGAACAAAUGUGUAAGGAACUGUGCACGUAUUGACGGUACCUGAUCAGGAAGCCACGGCUAACUACGUG
RNAcentral lists this ribosomal RNA (497 nucleotides) under uncultured bacterium. Its description in RNAcentral is "partial 16S ribosomal RNA". It matches the Rfam family "Bacterial small subunit ribosomal RNA", at positions 28 to 507 of the family's 1533-position model. The record is from RNAcentral.